CCUACGGGUGGCUGCAGUGAGGAAUAUUGGUCAAUGGGCGUAAGCCUGAACCAGCCAAGUCGCGUGAGGGAUGAAGGUUCUAUGGAUCGUAAACCUCUUUUAUAAGGGAAUAAAGUGCGGGACGUGUCCCGUUUUGUAUGUACCUUAUGAAUAAGGAUCGGCUAACUCCGUGCCAGCAGCCGCGGUAAUACGGAGGAUCCGAGCGUUAUCCGGAUUUAUUGGGUUUAAAGGGUGCGUAGGCGGACAGUCAAGUCAGCGGUAAAAAUGCGGUGCUCAACGCCGUACAGCCGUUGAAACUGGCAGUCUUGAGUGGGCGAGAAGUAUGCGGAAUGCGUGGUGUAGCGGUGAAAUGCAUAGAUAUCACGCAGAACUCCGAUUGCGAAGGCAGCAUACCGGCGCCCUACUGACGCUGAGGCACGAAAGCGUGGGUAUCGAACAGGAUUAGAUACCCCAGUAGUC
Molecule: ribosomal RNA, 459 nt
Filed under: uncultured bacterium
Lineage: Bacteria
Description: partial 16S ribosomal RNA
Rfam family: Bacterial small subunit ribosomal RNA
Source: RNAcentral